Molecule: long non-coding RNA, 1128 nt
Filed under: Oncorhynchus kisutch (coho salmon)
Lineage: Eukaryota; Metazoa; Chordata; Actinopteri; Salmoniformes; Salmonidae
Description: lncRNA (ENSOKIG00005006396.1)
Source: RNAcentral
ACAGAAGAUUACAUUGACUACUACAAGGAAGUGACUGAGGAAAUCAUUCAUGUGACUGAGGUGUGGAGCGUCAUUCCUGGAGGGGACAAAUCAGAGAACCUCCUCCCCCAGACCUCCCCCUUCUCUGGGGCUGCUGUUGCUUCAUCUCUCUGCUCCUUGGAGCUGGAGCCCUUACAGGUGACAGACCGCUACUGUCCAAUUACAUACAUACUGUACAUACUAUGCAGACCACCUACAGUAUUGGCCAGCUGGGUUUCUGUGUUUGUUGAGAGGGUGUCUGACCCUCCACAGCUUGAGGAAGCAAUAGAAUGUUUCUGUCAGGACUCCCAGGAUGCAGUGGAGCAACCAGAGAUCCUGACAUCCUGUGCCCUCACUGAGACCACCCAGGACCUGCUCUCUGAGCUCCACCAGACCUUUUGUUCUCUGGAGGAGCUGGGAAGUGCAGGGCCCAGUGGCCCAAGUACAGAGAGAGGCUCUACCCUGGAGGGGGAACUGGACAGUGGGGGCUCUGGGAGGAAUAUCCGGCCCUUCUCUCUCCAGGACUCCUCUCUGCUCAUCCCCCGUCGGAGGUCUGUACGCUCCAGACAGCUACAGGUCCCUGGAGUCCCUCUGUCCCGCAGGAACUCCAGCCGCAAUCCCCCAGCUCAGCACCUCCUCAGCCCCAGAGACAGGUUACCUGGAGGGGAGAAGGCCUUGCACAAGGAGGAGGCAGCAUGCUUCAGAUGCACCCCAGAGGAUAGGCUGGGUCACUGUAAGCUGGGCAGCUGGUGGAAACAAGCCCUGGAGACCCAAAGGGCAUUCUCUGGCCUACUACCUGCCAUAGAGCAGGUAUCCACCAUCUCAAAGAAAAGAGGGUCUCUCUCGUUCCUGGGCGACCCUACUCCAACAGUCUGGUCAGCAUCCAGGAGUCUCCAUCCAAGCAGAGAGGAGACAAGCAGGAGGUCAAAUAUGUAUGUAGAGGUCAUCUCUAUGUGGUCACUGGGCUUACAUGGAGGGUGUCAGUAUGGAGGGAAAUAUGCUCCGGUUGGCCAAUGGAGGGCGUUGUUGUCCAAGCUUGGAGGUUUUUAUUUUGUCUCUGAUUUGAAUAAUCUCACACCUACCCCCCCACGAGCCCAUCCCAGCAUGUAA